AUGGAGAUGGACAUAGGAAAGCUAGGAUUUGACUUCAUGGGAACAUCUGUAAUAUGUAGAAGCGGCAGUCCUCUAAUCCUAGCAGAUCUAAAGAAGGUUUCUGUUUCCGAAGCACGUGUUAUUAUUGUUUUAGCACCUGAUGAAAAUGCAGACCAAAGUGAUGCACGAGCUUUGCGUCUCGUACUGAGCCUGACUGGAGUAAAAGAGGGCUUAAGGGGGCAUAUUGUUGUAGAGAUGAGUGACCUUGACAAUGAACCUUUAGUGAAAUUGGUUGGAGGUGAACUAAUUGAAACAGUUGUUUCCCAUGAUGUCAUUGGACGUUUGAUGAUACAGUGUGCACUCCAACCUGGCUUGGCACAGAUAUGGGAGGAUAUUUUGGGAUUUGAAAAUGCAGAAUUUUGUAUAAAAAGAUGGCCAAAAUUGGAUGGCAUGCGGUUUGGCGAUGUGUUAAUCUCAUUCCCUAACGCUGUGCCCUGCGGAGUGAAGCUUGCGUCAGCAUUUGGAAGUAUAUUAAUGAAUCCGGAUGAUGAUUAUGUUUUAAGAGAAGGUGAUGAGAUCCUUGUUAUAGCAGAAGAUGAUGAUACUUAUGCACCUGCUCCUCUACCAGAGCUGCAUAAGGGUUUUCUACCUAACGUUCCCACCCCUCCUAAAUAUCCAGAGAAAAUUUUGUUCUGUGGUUGGCGACGUGACAUUCACCAUAUGAUAAUGGUUCUAGAAGCAUUUCUUGCUCCGGGCUCUGAAUUGUGGAUGUUCAAUGAGGUGCCAGAGAAGGCGAGGGAGGCAAAACUGACUGACAGUGGUAUGGAUAUUCUUGGACUAACAAACAUUAAACUUGUACACAAAGAAGGGAAUGUUGCCAUCAGGCGGCACUUAGAAAGCUUGCCUCUUGAGACCUUUGAUUCUGUGAGUAUAUGCCCUAUCAUAGAGACAAAUAUAGUACUCUGA
RNAcentral lists this ribosomal RNA (945 nucleotides) under Triticum aestivum (bread wheat). RNAcentral describes it as "partial small subunit ribosomal RNA". The record is from RNAcentral. Lineage: Eukaryota; Viridiplantae; Streptophyta; Magnoliopsida; Poales; Poaceae.